GGUGAGACAGGCAGACAGGUGACUGCGCUCGAUUUGAAAUCGAGAGCCGCGAGGCUUCGGAGUUCGAUUCUCCGUCUCACCG
This 82-nucleotide transfer RNA is filed under the name Haloarcula amylolytica JCM 13557. Its description in RNAcentral is "tRNA-OTHER". It matches the Rfam family "tRNA". Rfam says of the family: Transfer RNA (tRNA) molecules are approximately 80 nucleotides in length. Their secondary structure includes four short double-helical elements and three loops (D, anti-codon, and T loops). Lineage: Archaea; Methanobacteriati; Methanobacteriota; Halobacteria; Halobacteriales; Haloarculaceae. The record is from RNAcentral.